Molecule: RNA transcript, 3351 nt
Organism: Abrus precatorius (Indian licorice)
Lineage: Eukaryota; Viridiplantae; Streptophyta; Magnoliopsida; Fabales; Fabaceae
Exons: 14
Source: RefSeq, a predicted model, not a curated record
ACUCGCUAGCCGUUUAUCCAAAGGCAAGGUUUCUGUUUGAGUCUGUGUGAGAAGAGAGCACUAAUAAAACCCUUCUCAACUCUGAUGAUAAUAAUAAUAAUAGUUGUGAAUUGAAAUUCGGAGGAAUAUGGGAACGCUUCCUCUCACAAGUAAACCCUUAUUCACUCAGUUUCAUUGCUUUUCAUCACACAGAAGAAGAACUACAACGACAACCGUUUCUCUGAAUCAGAGACACAAGGUCUUCGCCUCACGAUUACAUUCACAAGAUGAAGAACCCCCUCAACUCGAUAGCUACGACCUCAUGGAACUCAAGUUCGGUCGGUUAAUCGGAGAGGACCCCAAGCUCACUCUUGCCAAGAUAAUGGGAAGAAAGGCUAAUCCUAAUGCUUCGUAUCUAGAUAUUGAGAAGGCGUUUUAUAAGAAGGGUAAAAUUGUGGAAGUGGAGGAAGUUCCAUUUGAAGGGUCUAAGGGAGGGAAAUUAUCAGGUAAACUGGAUGGCUUGAAUUUGGCGCGUCCAGUUCCGGUCAAGGGAGUAAAAUUUAAAGCUGAUGAUAACAAACCUGUAGUGGAGAUUAAGAAACCUGUCCGAACUGAUAAGAUGGUGGGGGAUGUUAGGAAAACUAGUGUUCCCAAUGUUAUUCUCAGAAAGCCAACUGUGUAUAAAGAGGAUGAUGAUGAGGACAAGUCCUCGAGGUUGAGGAUAAGGCCAAAUUUGUCGCUGAAAAUGCGGGAUGAGCAAGUGAAGGAUAAGUUUAGUGACAUGACGCUGUUGAGGAAGCCUGAACCACCUGUUGCCAAGAAUGCUGAUACGGUUGAAGAGCCUAAAACUUGUUUGGAUGACCAAGGGGACAAUGAUGGUGAGUUGAAGGUGUGGAAUGAAGAGCUGAUUGAUGAAAUUGGUAACUUGACCUUGUUGGAACGGCCGCACAAAUCAAGUGGCAUAAAAGAAGAAGAGCAGUUUGGAGAAAUGAAUGUCACCGUCCCAAGUGAUAGAUUGAAGCAACGUGAGCAGAGUCAACCGGAGUUCCAUCAGGUGCCAGCUGAUUUAUGUCAAUCAUCAGAUUUAAAGUCCGUUGAUUCUAGAGUGGAAUUGUCUGUGGAAGCUGCACUACAUGCAAAGCCAAAAAGAUUAGAUCAAUAUGAGAAACAAACCUCAAAAUUUGUUGGAGAAGAGGAUGCUUCCCAUACUCCUGAAGGUCACAGAAACAAUGAUGAUUUAGGGAAUGUUGUUGAUGCAUCAAACUUUCAGGAAAGUGAAGAUGCUGACUGGACCAGGGCAGAGGACUUGAUUAAGACUGGAGAUAGGGAAGUUGUAGAAUUAGUAAGCUGCAAUAUGAAAGGUUUCAUGGUUUCUUUUGGUUCCUUAGUAGGAUUUCUGCCAUACCGUAAUCUUACUUCCAAGUGGAAGUUCUUAGCUUUUGAGUCUUGGUUAAAACAUAAGGGUUUGGAUCCCUCCAUGUACAAGCAAAAAUCAGGCACUAUUACAAGUUAUGAUGGUGAAAAUAAGAAUUUUCCUCCUGAAUCUCCUCCUUAUCUGGAGCUUGAUGGUAAAGUUGAAGAUGAAAUUUCAACAGAUAUAAAGUUGGAAGAUCUGUUAAGGAUUUAUGACCAAGAGAAAACCAAGUUCUUAUCAUCAUUUGUUGGGCAGAGAAAUAAAGUAAAUGUGUUAGUGGCAGACAGAAAAAUGAGAAAGCUCAUAUUUUCUCUAAGACCAAAAGAGAAGGAAGAAUUGGUUGAGAAGAAGAGAAAUCUGAUGGCUAGACUUCAAGUUGGGGACAUAGUGAAAUGCAGCAUCCAGAAGAUAGCUUACUUUGGGAUUUUUGUUGAGGUCGAAGGAGUUUCUGCAUUAAUUCAUCAGUCAGAAUUAUCAUGGGAUGCCACUUUGAACCCAUUGUCAUAUUUUAAGAUUGGUCAGGUUGUAGAGGCAAAAGUUCACCAAUUAAACUUUGCUCUUGAACGCAUAUUUCUAUCAUUGAAGGAGGUCAUGCCUGAUCCAUUGAUGAAUUCCUUAGAAUCUAUAGUUGGGGAUCAUGGCCCCUUAGAUGGGAGAUUGCAGGCAGCUCCAACAGAUGUAGAGUAUGUCCAUACUUUAUCUGGAAGGAUGGAGCAAAGGUGGACACCAGCAAAUUAGAAAAAAGAUUAUUGAAUAACAAGCAGCCUGAUUGAAUAUGGUUUUUUCUGCUGAUGACGGUAGUAAAUUUGUGGAUCUUUAUGUGGGAAUAAGAAUUGAAUUCAAAUUCUAACUAAAGGAUGUGGUCUAGUAAUAAAGUUGACUCCUUUGAGGUUGGGUGAUAAUAUGGGUUUGAUGCUUUGGCAUUGCAUAAACCUGGGGCAAUGAUACUCUCACCCCUUGCCUUUGCCCUUUGGUUAGGUGGUGUUGGACUAGGCUUGGAAUCACUUAGAGGGAUCCAUGUAGGUCUUAGUCUUGGCCGAUCAGGCAAUAUGAGAAUAUCUGUAUGGACUACUGUUAGAGGUUCCCUGCUGAUAUGGGAGCUAGAAAAUGCUUAGGGAUUGCAUCUGUAGGCUAGCUUCCCUACUGUACCUUUUUUCUGUAUUCAAAAAGGAAAAGUUGUCUUAUGACUUUAAAAUUCAAUCAAUCAAGUAGACUGUAGUUUUGUUCUUGAUUUCAGGGUGUAAUAAGGUUUCAGAAUGUAAAUUGAAAUACUGUGAGUUACGUUUUAUAGCUUUUGUUUUCUACCUUAUGAUAAAUUCAUGGGCCCUUUGGUCUUGCCUGAUUUUUAUUCGUGUGCAUAAUAUUUUCAUUCCAAUCAAUCACUUCAUUUAUAUGCUGUUUUAUGAUGUGGCAGAGAAAGAAAUCUUCUUUCCAUAAAAUGAAUCAUCAAUGUGGACAUGAUGUUUUAUUUUAUUGUCCAGUUGAUUUUGUGGUUUGACAUGACUAAUCAUUAAAUUAUGCUAAUUUUCGUACAGUGGUCUGAAGUGGAAUCCCUAGUCAAAGAAUUACAAAAGAUUGAGGGAGUCCAGUCUGUUUCAAAAGGUCGUUUUUUCAGAAGCCCUGGUUUAGCUCCAACCUUUCAGGUUUAUAUGGCAUCCAUCUUUGAGAAUCAGUACAAGUUACUUGCUCGAUCUGGAGACAAAAUACAAGAGGUGAUAGUUCAAACUUCUUUAGAUAAAGAAAGGAUGAAAUCAGCUGUUAUGACAUGUGCGAACCGGGUGGAAUAGUUGUAGCCUGCUGUUGAUUUUUGUGUGAUUGUACAAUCUUUUGGGAUUGCAGCCUGCAAUUAAGGAGCAUUUCAAGUUAAUUUAUACAAGAGGUUUGGUGGAGUAUCAGUAUUUUCUUUCCUGUAAAAAGUGAUAAUAAAGGCAUUUUUUUCUUGUGUUCUUUCCUUCUUU